Molecule: long non-coding RNA, 308 nt
Filed under: Arabidopsis lyrata
Lineage: Eukaryota; Viridiplantae; Streptophyta; Magnoliopsida; Brassicales; Brassicaceae
Description: long non-coding RNA (ALYR_LNC001714)
Source: RNAcentral
GAAAAAAUUAACUGAUAAGAAUUCUAUGAGAAUUUGAACGUGUUAGCUCCGAGUAGCUAGCCACAUUUGGUACGCCUCGUCGUAUCUUCUGUCUCCCAUACGUCGAAGAGUUGUGAUCCGGUUUCUGACUUGUUUAUCUAUCCACUUUGUGAUGAGUGGUUCCGAGUGUUGAUCCUCGCCGUGCCUACGACCAUUUCGCUCCCGCCAUAUCAUGUAAACAGUAGUUUGAAGAGCGUAUCGAAUUAGGAAGCUCUCCACUCUGCCUCGUUGAUUAUUUGAAACAUGAUCGAUGAGUUGUGACCAGCCUG